GACGAACGCUGGCGGCGUGCCUAAUACAUGCAAGUAGAACGCACAGUUUAUACCGUAGCUUGCUACACCAUAGACUGUGAGUUGCGAACGGGUGAGUAACGCGUAGGUAACCUGCCUGGUAGCGGGGAAUAACUAUUGGAAACGAUAGCUAAUACCGCAUAAUAUUGAUUAUUGCAUGAUAAUUGAUUGAAAGAUGCUAUUGCAUCACUACCAGAUGGACCUGCGUUGUAUUAGCUAGUAGGUGAGGUAACGGCUCACCUAGGCGACGAUACAUAGCCGACCUGAGAGGGUGAUCGGCCACACUGGGACUGAGACACGGCCCAGACUCCUACGGGAGGCAGCAGUAGGGAAUCUUCGGCAAUGGACGAAAGUCUGACCGAGCAACGCCGCGUGAGUGAAGAAGGUUUUCGGAUCGUAAAGCUCUGUUGUAAGAGAAGAACAGGUGUGAGAGUGGAAAGUUCACACUGUGACGGUAUCUUACCAGAAAGGGACGGCUAACUACGUG
Molecule: ribosomal RNA, 505 nt
Filed under: uncultured bacterium
Lineage: Bacteria
Description: partial 16S ribosomal RNA
Rfam family: Bacterial small subunit ribosomal RNA
Source: RNAcentral